Molecule: long non-coding RNA, 3400 nt
Filed under: Salmo salar (Atlantic salmon)
Lineage: Eukaryota; Metazoa; Chordata; Actinopteri; Salmoniformes; Salmonidae
Description: lncRNA (ENSSSAG00000114828.1)
Source: RNAcentral
UGAUCCUAACCAUACUGUUCUGAUUCUACUCCUUUAACCUAGUCACACUGUCGUUCUGAUCCUAACCAUACUGUUCUGAUUCUACUCCUUUAACCUUGUCACACUGUCGUUCUGAUCCUAACCAUACUGUUCUGAUUCUACUCCUUUAACCUAGUCACACUGUCGUUCUGAUCCUAACCAUACUGUUCUGGUUCUACUCCUUUAACCUAGUCACACCGUCGUUCUGAUCCUAACCAUACUGUUCUGAUUCUACUCCUUUAACCUAGUCACACUGUCGUUCUGAUCCUAACCAUACUGUUCUGAUUCUACUCCUUUAACCUAGUCACACCGUCGUUCUGAUCCUAACCAUACUGUUCUGAUUCUACUCCGUAGUGUGAAAAGGACUGUUUUUUCAUCUUUGCCUUGUAACCAGAGAUUGAUUUGUCGCUGGGAAACUAGGUGUGUGCACACGUCAGCCAAUCAUUAGUUGAUCAUAAGUACCAGGGAGAAACACUAACCUAGCAGGACUGUGGAUGUCGAGGGCCUGAGUUUAUGCACCCUUGAUCAAGACAAUCAACUGUUACUGUAUUUCUCAGUGUUGAGUUUACCCAGGUCAACUGUUACCGUAUUUCUCAGUGUUGAGUUUACCCAGGUCAACUGUUAGUGUAUUUCUCAGUGUUGAGUUUACCCAGGUCAACUGUUACCGUAUUUCUCAGUGUUGAGUUUAUCCAGGUCAACUGUUAGUGUAUUUCUCAGUGUUGAGUUUACCCAGGUCAACUGGCUAACUCAUUGAUCCUGCCUGGUAGGUUUACCACCCAGCUCUGCCCAUUCAUGUCAUUAGAUAUAAACUGGGAUUUCUGAGUGCUCUGCACAGCUAUACCCAUCAAGGCAAAGCUAGUAGCUGCAAUGGAGACUGCAGAGAGAACAGAACCCUCCACAGUUACAACUGGGACGUAGACUUCUCAAUGAUUGUACAAACAUCAUCAUGGCAACAGAACGUGACUUAGGCCUUAUUGGUAACUGUAAUGAAUUAACAAAUGUAAUGAUUUAAUACCAGACAUGUACCCAGUUACAGUCCUCUUCCACUGCUUUUCCAUUUAAGUGUUUGAAAUUAGUAUUUGAAAAAAAUACAAAUUCUAAUUCAUAUGAAAAAGGGAAUCCAAAAGUAGUGACAAUUCCAAAACAUGUUUACGACCCUGUUAUUACAUGGUAAUUACAAAGCUUAUUUCAUUGGUAGUUAAUAUGGUAUAACAAGGCGAAGCCUAUGGUGUCAAGCGUGGCCGGAAACAUUACUGUACUAGAAGGAUUGGUACACUUGCAGUCCCGCAGUCAAACACACUCCAGGUCAGGGAUGGGCAACUCCAGUCCUCGAGGGCCUGAUUGAUUGGAGUUUCCCAUCCCUACUCCAGGGGAAUGGAGUUACCCAUACCUGCUCCAGGGGAAUGGAGUUACCCAUCCCUGCUCCAGGGGAAUGGAGUUACCCCUCCCUGCUCCCCUCCCUGCUCCAGGGGAAUAGAGUUACCCAUCCCUGCUCCAGGGGAAUAGAGUUACCCAUCCCUGCUCCAGGGGAAUAGAGUUGCCCAUCCCUGCUCCAGGGGAAUGGAGUUACCCCUCCCUGCUCCCCUCCCUGCUCCAGGGGAAUAGAGUUACCCAUCCCUGCUCCAGGGGACUGGAGUUACCCCUCCCUGCUCCAGGGGAAUAGAGUUGCCCAUCCCUGCUCCAGGGGAAUGGAGUUGCCCAUCCCUGCUCCAGGGGAAUAGAGUUGCCGAUCCCUGCUCCAGGGGAAUGGAGUUACCCAUCCCUGCUCCAGGGGAAUGGAGUUGCCCAUUCAUGCUCCAGGGGAAUACUGUUGCCCAUCCCUGCUCCAGGGGAAUAUAGUUGCCCAUCCCUGCUUCACGGGAAUAGAGUUGCUCAUCCCUGCUCCACGGGAAUAGAGUUGCCCAUCCCUGCUCCAGGGGAAUGGAGUUGCCCCUCCCUGCUCCAGGGGAAUGGAGUUACCCCUCCCUGCUCCAGGGGAAUGGAGUUGCCCAUCCCUGCUCCAGGGGAAUGGAGUUGCCCAUCCCUGCUCCAGGGGAAUAGAGUUGCCCAUCCCUGCUCCAGGGGAAUGGAGUUACCCCUCCCUGCUCCAGGGGAAUAGAGUUGCCCAUCCCUGCUCCAGGGGAAUAGCGUUGCCCAUCCCUGCUCCAGGGGAAUCGAGUUGCCGAUCCCUGCUCCAGGGGAAUGGAGUUACCCAUCCCUGCUCCAGGGGAAUGGAGUUGCCCAUUCAUGCUCCAGGGGAAUACUGUUGCCCAUCCCUGCUCCAGGGGAAUAUAGUUGCCCAUCCCUGCUUCACGGGAAUAGAGUUGCUCAUCCCUGCUCCACGGGAAUAGAGUUGCCCAUCCCUGCUCCAGGGGACUGGAGUUACCCCUCCCUGCUCCAGGGGACUCGAGUUGCCCAUUCAUGCUCCAGGGGAAUAGAGUUGCACAUCCCUGCUCCAGGGGAAUAGAGUUGCACAUCCCUGCUUCACGGGAAUAGAGUUGCACAUCCCUGCUCCAGGGGAAUAGAGUUGCCCAUCCCUGCUCCAGGGGACUGGAGUUGCCCAUCCCUGCUCCAGGGGAAUGGAGUUGCCCAUUCAUGCUCCAAGGGAAUAGAGUUGCCCAUCCCUGCUCCAGGGGAAUGGAGUUGCCCAUCCCUGCUCCAGGGGAAUGGAGUUGCCCAUCCCUGCUCCAGGGGAAUGGAGUUGCCCAUCCCUGCUCUAGGAGAAUGGAUGACAAAAAGUGAGGGAGACUGAAAGACAGAUACACAGUCCAGGGUUCACUAAGGCCUGAGGGUCAAGGACACACCCUGAGAUAGAUGAACUGCAGGAAGGCUGGGUUGUAGUCAUUAGGGCACAGCGUAGCAAAACGUUUUGCAACUAAAAACAAUUGUUUCUUAUUGUUCUGGUAUCCGUCCCUGUUUCAGUCAGUUUCCUUCUGUUUGGUGCAUAGUAAACACUACCCUGUUGAGACAGUGAGACGUCACAUUGGCAUAGAUUCCACACCCCAGACAAUCAAGGCAGCUUUGUGUUUGUUUUUGUGUGUGAGUUUAUUACAGCACAAUCUUACCAACGCCAAAGAGGUUUGCAUGCAGUGUUUUACUGUAUAUUGUGAAAAAGCUUGUGCUAUUAUGCUGCAAUUUCAGCUUAGCUUGAUCCAUGUUGAGGAUGGGUUUGCAUGGACACCACCUUGGCCUUGUUAGCUCCCUAGGAACUGUGAUUAUGUAUGUAUGCCUCUGACUGAAUCAAUGUCAGUGUAAAACUGAGUGUGUGUGUGUGUCUGUCUGUCAGAAUAUAUAUAUAUAUAUGAGUUGUUUUGAAAGAUGUCAUACCUCAAGUAUGUAUGUGUUGUUGUCAAAUGAGAGGAUUGUACUGUAUAUACCAAAUAAAGUAUACUUUUGAACAGGU